This 253-nucleotide ribosomal RNA is filed under the name uncultured bacterium. RNAcentral's name for it is "partial 16S ribosomal RNA". It matches the Rfam family "Bacterial small subunit ribosomal RNA", at positions 524 to 776 of the family's 1533-position model. The record is from RNAcentral.
UACGUAGGGAGCAAGCGUUGUCCGGAAUCAUUGGGCGUAAAGCGCGUGUAGGCGGUCCGGUAAGUCCGCUGUGAAAGUCGGGGGCUCAACCCUCGGAUGCCGGUGGAUACUGUCGGGCUCGAGUACGGAAGAGGCGAGUGGAAUUCCUGGUGUAGCGGUGAAAUGCGCAGAUAUCAGGAGGAACACCAGUAGCGAAGGCGGCUCGCUGGGCCAUUCCUGACGCUGAGACGCGAAAGCUAGGGGAGCGAACAGG